UGCGCAGGCGGUUGAGUAAGACAGAUGUGAAACUCCCCGAGCUUAACUCGGGAAUGGCAUAUGUGACUGCUCGACUAGAGUGUGUCAGAGGGAGGUGGAAUUCCACGUGUAGCAGUGAAAUGCGUAGAUAUGUGGAAGAACACCGAUGGCGAAGGCAGCCUCCUGGGACAUAACUGAGCUCAGGCACGAAAGCGUGGGAGCAAACA
Molecule: ribosomal RNA, 206 nt
Filed under: uncultured bacterium
Lineage: Bacteria
Description: partial 16S ribosomal RNA
Rfam family: Bacterial small subunit ribosomal RNA
Source: RNAcentral